This 433-nucleotide ribosomal RNA is filed under the name uncultured bacterium. RNAcentral's name for it is "bacterial SSU rRNA". It matches the Rfam family "Bacterial small subunit ribosomal RNA", at positions 30 to 463 of the family's 1533-position model. The record is from RNAcentral.
AUUGAACGCUGGCGGCAUGCUUUACACAUGCAAGUCGAACGGCAGCACGGGUGCUUGCACCUGGUGGCGAGUGGCGGACGGGUGAGUAAUGCAUCGGAACGUGUCCUGAAGUGGGGGAUAACGCAUCGAAAGAUGUGCUAAUACCGCAUAUUCUCUGAGGAGGAAAGUAGGGGAUCGAAAGACCUUAUGCUUUUGGAGCGGCCGAUGUCUGAUUAGCUAGUUGGUAGGGUAAUGGCUUACCAAGGCGACGAUCAGUAGUUGGUCUGAGAGGACGACCAGCCACACUGGGACUGAGACACGGCCCAGACUCCUACGGGAGGCAGCAGUGGGAAUUUUGGACAAUGGGCGCAAGCCUGAUCCAGCAAUGCCGCGUGAGUGAAGAAGGCCUUCGGUUGUAAGCGUCUUUCAGUUGAGAAGAAAAAGUACGUAGACU